Molecule: non-coding RNA, 29 nt
Filed under: Mus musculus (house mouse)
Lineage: Eukaryota; Metazoa; Chordata; Mammalia; Rodentia; Muridae
Source: RNAcentral
UGAGUCAGUUACUUCAUUUCUCCAGCUCA